GACGAACGCUGGCGGCGUGCUUAACACAUGCAAGUCGAGCGGUAAGGCCCUUUCGGGGGUACACGAGCGGCGAACGGGUGAGUAACACGUGGGUGACCUGCCCUCAGCUCUGGGAUAAGCCCGGGAAACUGGGUCUAAUACCGGAUAUGACUCCAUGACGCAUGUUGUGGGGUGGAAAGCCUUGUGCGGCUGAGGAUGGGCCCGCGGCCUAUCAGCUUGUUGGUGGGGUGAUGGCCACCAAGGCGACGACGGUAGCCGGCCUGAGAGGGCGACCGGCCACACUGGGACUGAGAUACGGCCCAGACUCCUACGGGAGGCAGCAGUGGGGAAUCUUGCGCAAUGGGCGAAAGCCUGACGCAGCGACGCCGCGUGAGGGAUGACGGCCU
RNAcentral lists this ribosomal RNA (386 nucleotides) under uncultured bacterium. RNAcentral's name for it is "bacterial SSU rRNA". It matches the Rfam family "Bacterial small subunit ribosomal RNA", at positions 28 to 417 of the family's 1533-position model. The record is from RNAcentral.